AUCAUGAUGGUCGAGUUGGAAAGGAACAACACCACCACCCCCCUCACCACCCAACCUGCUUCUUCUUCCUUGAAGCCAGAGGAAGCCACCAAUAAUAACGGUGGCUUGGAUGAGGAACAGAGGAUUGCCCUGCAGAUGAUAGAAGAGCUUCUUAUCUAAAUAUUAAAUUUUUGACUUUGAGGGCUAACAGGAUCACUUAACACCUCUGAUUCUAAUUUAGAAAUGUCAGGAGACAAAGGAUUAUCAAUUUCAACAGAAUGUUGAGCUAGUUCAGUUAGAAAAUGUUGAUCAUUCUGUGGUAUUAUGCUAACUGAACAUGAACCUGAACCUUGCAAGAUGACCUUUUUGAUUUAAUCUUAGGCAGAUCAUCUGUUGUAAGAGAGCUCUCUUAGCAACAGAUUCUUCUUGCUGAGCAAGCCAUAAACGGGAUCUAGUGUUAUUUCCAAGUUGAGGUAUCAACAUAACAAGUAGUCAUUGAAUAAGAAAGCAUAACAUAUCACAAACUACCUAUACACUUUGACUCUCUUUCUACUACCAUCAUCAUCAUUCUUCAGUUUAUUUAUAUAUGGCAUUGACAGGUAGCUACCCCCACUCAUUCAGCAACAACCAGCAUUUGAUUUUAUUUCCAUAUGAUCUUUAUCAAAAUACAAGAAGAAACCUGAUAUAAGACACACGCCACUAAAAGUUAUAGACUGCAUAUAAAAACGAAGUUGCAAGUUUAAUAUACUGCUUUUGAGGCUUACACGAUAGGCUUUCGGCAUCAUCAUCAACCUCUGCAGUAGCAGGCUUUUGAUCUUUCCUCUUAAAUACCACUUUUUCAUAAUUUUUAAACAAUUCAUCAUACAUCUCAUCUAUAUCUUCACCUACAUCCGGCAAAAUUUGUCUUUCAUGUUACCUGCAUCAUCAUUCAUUCAUUUGCAAGGCACAAAAAUUUACAAAUUCUCCGAUUUAGACAUAGAACAAAAUCUAAAAAGUGAAUGAGAGAAGGAUUUUCUUAAGAAAUUAAAGUGGCCAUUAAAUUAGUGUUGAUUUAACUAAAGUUACAACCCCCUCAUAUUUUAGAGUCAUCAGCAACUAGUAAUUACAAAACAGAGCCAUCAGUAAAUUUGAACAAAAAUUUCAAAGCCAUCAGCAACUAACAAGUACAAAACAGAGCCAUCAAAAGAGCAGCAUAACAAAAUCACUAAUCACAAAUCACUUGUCACAAAUUCCAAAUUCAAAACACUCAAUGCCAUAACAAAACAGCAGCUUAACAAGUCACUAGUCAGUAAUCACAAAUUCGAAACUCAAAUCAACAGCAUUACAAGAGACCCAAGAAAUCACAAAUCACAAAUUCAACCUCAAAUCCUUGAAACAGAGUAACAGAUUCAACUUUCCACUAACCUCAAAUCAGUAAAUCACAGUUUCACUAACCUUCCACUGACAGCGGAAGACGACGGCGGGACGACAGCGACAACACGGCGCACCAGCUGAAGGCCUCGAGCAGCGAUUUCACCUGUGAAUGGAAGACGUGCCGAGCUAGAAAGGGGAGACGCCGUGGAGAAGGAGAAGGAAGAGGCCGCGGAGACGCCGACACAGACGAACGGCGGCGGCGGUUCCGUCCAAGAAGCUGGAUUUUUGGGUUGGGAAGGAGCUAGGGCUUGCUCUUGCUGUGUGUUCUGUGUUGUCUUUCAAAUGAGGGUGUGUUUUGG
RNAcentral lists this long non-coding RNA (1691 nucleotides) under Arachis ipaensis. Its description in RNAcentral is "long non-coding RNA (AIPA_LNC002081)". The record is from RNAcentral. Lineage: Eukaryota; Viridiplantae; Streptophyta; Magnoliopsida; Fabales; Fabaceae.